RNAcentral lists this long non-coding RNA (24521 nucleotides) under Zea mays. RNAcentral's name for it is "long non-coding RNA (ZMAY_LNC003267)". Lineage: Eukaryota; Viridiplantae; Streptophyta; Magnoliopsida; Poales; Poaceae. The record is from RNAcentral.
AUAUAAAAGUAGUAGGUAACCUCCCCAUCUUUCUUGUGUUAAAUUUUCAUGACCAUAGGUUUAGUAGUUUAAGAGUUAUGAUUUUCCCAAGUCCAGUUUCAGAAUCUGUCCAGAUUCUGUACUGAUUUCGAAAAUUGCUUUGUUUGACUAAAUUAAACUUAGAAUCAGACCUUAGUAAUUAUAGAAGAAUUGUAGUACCUUUUUUAAGGUUUCCAACAGAUUUUGGAUCACCCUUUUUUGUGAUCUAUAAAUUAAGUUACAGCUGUUUGAGUUAGUAUCUCUGAAUCUGUCCAAAUCUGUACAACAAUGUUUGUUUGUAUUAUACACAUUGAAUCACUUUGAGAUGAUUAUAAAUGAAUUAUAGAAAAUUCUAUUAGCUUUCUAAAAAGUUUAGGAUCACCUGAUUUGGAUUUCUGAAACUCCAGUUAUGGAUUUUUGAAGUGAAGAGCCGAAUUCUGUCUAAAUUUGGACAGAAUUAAAGUUUAGCACUGUUUGACCAUUCAAACUGUCGAAUCGUGUUGUGAUGAUAAUAUAAGAGUUAUAGAGGACUUUCUAAGCUUUCCAGAAAGUCCUAGUUUACUAUUUUUGGAUACAUAUUUGGUGAGUUAUGAAUAAAACAAUUAACCGUUGUGCUACUGUCUAAAAAUUCUGCAAGUAUUAAAUUGUUGGUUUGAAGUUACUAUUGUUUGGCUAAGUAAGUUUAGCUGAUUCUUAAUUGGUGAAGUGAUGCUUUGUUUUAGUAAUUAUCAUGUUCUGUAGUUGUUGAUUGAGUAAAUAUCAUAAAUGGAGAUUGGUCGCUUAAGUUAAUCAUCUUGAAUAAAUGUUCCUCAUUAUCCUUAUUAGUUGGAAGCAAAUAGCAUCAAUAGGUUUAUUCUAGUUGUAAUCCGAGAGCUAUAUAGUGGGAAGUGCAUUUAGGCGCUUAAAGUCUUUUGCUUCUAGGUUAUAGUCAAAUGAGAUUAUGUAAUAUUUGAUGAUGCUCUACUUGCUAGGACAAAUAGUGUGAUGUGUUAUUUAGCUCGUGCGCUAUGCUAGUUAAUCCGAUGAAAUAGUUUAAAAAGUUAGUUAAAGUAUUUAUAUUCAAAUUCGAAGUUGUAGAUGUCCAAGGCUAAUAAGUUUAAAUUAUGGUAAUCGUUUGGUGUAUGUUCUAGUUAAAGAGGAUCCAUACACGGUUCACGAUUGUUUGGUGUUUAAGUUAGGUUUGAUUGAUUAGAAGAUCAUGCUUGUUGUGUGAGUUAAUGUAUCUAGUGAUUACUUAUGCUUGCUUAUAAUGCUUUGCUAGAGAACUUCAUAUAAUAUUGUAGUUCAUACAUGUGCAUUGUACAUUCAAAUAGGUACGCUAGCUGAAAAAUCGUGCGAAGCGAGGGGUGUGGAUCAAAACAACCCACAAGACGAUGUCGGCUAAUGUGCCCGAAGAUGGAUGUACUAAGCAGAUGUCAGAAUAAAAGUUGAUCGUCAAGUGGCCUUCAUUUAACAACACACUUAGUGUUAUCCCAGGCAAGCCCCGGUGCAUUUGCCACCUCCUUGUUGUUUUAAAACUUUUAUCACUUAUAUGCUGCAUUAGGUGAUAGGAGUUGAGUGAUGAAAUAAUUGAUGCAUUACCAUUCCUUGGAAUUUGAUUAUCCUCCUUGCUACCUGUUUUAUAAAGAGAACUAAUGAGGCUUAGCUCUGCCUAGAGAAUUAAAACUUGUUUCUGUUUAAAAGAAUGUUGUGUAACACUGGGUAUGGGUUUGUUUUAUGAAAAAGGACUUGUAAUGGUGAGAGCAUCAUCUGUAGUGAUGAAUUCAUCAUUCAAGUAUGGUACCUCUGUCAGGUACAUGGUUUUGAGAAGGAAAAUAAUAAGAUGAGACCAGACGUUGAGCAGGAAAGGUCGCCCAUCUGUGUCGAUUAAGGACCGCACCGAAAGUAGGCUUGCUGAUUUAGGACCCUUUAACUGGCCACAUGCCUCGUCAUGGGUAAGCUUAGCCUCGGCCGGACCAAUACCAGAACAGCUCGCACGCACUGGGAGUGGAGAGAUGGCGGGAGUAACGUGUGCCCACCUGGCAAGUGGCUGGAUGGUGGGGUACUGUGCUCUCGGGUCGUGUGAACCCAUUCUGGUCUUGAGAAACCCGUGGGCGAGUUGACAUAUGCAAGGUUUAAGUGCUACAUAUGUCGUGUGGUUGGAGAUCCUCAGCUGAGUAUUAAUCGAUUCGGAUCGCCGUUACUUCUCGAAUAUGAAGACUGGAUCACUGCCCUACAUCGUAGAUAACAAGUGAAACUAAAGCUGCUAAAAUGAAGCUAGUGUAGGACAAGUGAAUGCUCUAGAUUAGGCAAAUCUAGAUUAAGGAAAAAUACUUAACUUGUGAAGUAAAAUUUUGGCAUAAGGAUCCACUACUAGUAAGCUUUUCUGCAAAAAGGAGUCUUUGAAAUUUGAUGAGCUUUACCUUGAUUCCCAACAAACCAGUAUACCCUUGAGAGUCUUUUCUUUAGUCGGGUAAGUCUUGCUGAGUAAUUGCAUAGUCAGGGUUUUAUUCCCUAUUGUUUUUCAGGUUAUAAGUUUGUUCUGUUGUGGAUGGUGCUAAGUGCCGGUGGGCUCGUCCUUCUUAUAUAUGUAUAUCCCAUCUUUAGCUUCUUUAUUGAGGAUUGUCACUUAAGCUAGCAUGUAUUUUAAAACUUAUAAAUGUUUUAUACAUUCAAAUUGUAAUCUUUUGUAUCAAUUUCUCUUGUAAUCACUCCGAUGAUAUAUUGUAAUAUGGCUAUAACUUGUAAAUGUUGUAACUUGUAAUCAUUUUGUAAUAAAGAAUUUAUUUCCGCUGCAAGUGUUUGUAUGUGAGUUGUGUUUACUUAAUCUUGCGAUCUUGGCGGUAAGUCAUUUAUCCGAGGUCCUCGGGGCACUCGGACAGAUCCUGUUAAGUUGUUUGGUGCACAUGCAUAGCCGUUUGAGGUCUUUGAGACAAGGACAGGUGCAUGUGGGCCCGAUAACUUGGGAGGUUCUGCGACAGCUGGUAUCGGAGCUGAAUUAAGUAUAAGAUGGUCACAUACAUAUUUUUAAAACAAAGUUUUGGUUUCGAAAAACUUAUUUUCAACUAAACACAUUGUUUGGUUUUGAUAAAAAAACAGAUUUAAAAAACUAUAAUGCUAGCGACAUUCUCUGUUAAGCCCUAAGUUAAGGACUACUAGGUGGCUUAGUUUAGAAUACUAACCCACAACCUGGGAAGGGUGAUGCAUACAUGUGUAAUGUUGUUUUUGAGGUCAUUCAGUCUUGAGUGGAUCGACGCUCAGGUAAGGUGAGAAGUGAGAGCGUGACCGGACAAACGUCGGUCUAGGAGAGAGUAUAAAAAGUGCUUGAUUAUAUACAUGUUUUACAUAUGUAUAUAUGAAGGCUGCGAUGUGGAGUAUUUACUUUUCCAGGAUUCAGUACCCCAUGGAUGUGUAUGGGUAUACAGACAUGGGAAUACUGAGAAGUGUAAUGUACCACAAUGGGCUGCCCUGUGGUUAAAGUGUGACAGCGGCGCCUAUGCGUGGCUCGGCGCUUAAUGAGGAGCUGGCCUCCAUAUAGAAAUAUAUGGAGUAUAAACUGUGAUAAUCUGUCAUGUGUGAAUUGCAUCAUUGGGAACUGGGUUGUGAUGGAAAUUUUCUGCAGGUACACUAACUUCGAACUCGUAUGUGUAGCUGAGACUAGCAAUAUACCGAGAGAGACGUAGUUAUGCCACCGAUAUAGAACGUUAUUGCCACGUUAUGUUGGCAAAACUGGUGAGGCCGAAUAGGACGAGCAUGCAUCCUGAUUGUUGCAUUGUGUCUGUUGUUUGCGCACAAAAAUGAUUCCAUCACCUUUAUUCUAAUAAUUGGUGGUUGUAAACGAAUAUGCUUUUCUCAUCUUUAUUCCGAUAAUAAAUAAUUGGAAAAUGUUUGAAGCAUGACUGUCCUAUAAGCAAAUUUCUAGCUUUGUUUGUUGUGUUUUUAGACAUGUGUUUAUGUGGCUUGUGGUUCUUCUUAGUUUGACCGUCAGUUCAACCUGUGUUUGCUCCUAUACUCGAUGUGCCGAUAGAAUAUUGGUGACUUGUUUGUAUAAACCCAAAGCUAGGCCAUAUUUUUCAUGUUGAUUUUGUCCCAUAUUCAUGUUGAUCUCUCCUCCACUCAUCCUAGAAAUCCAUCUUGGUGGAUGACCUCUCUUUUUACCUGGACCUAGCAAUAUUUCUCCGUAUGAAUUAGCUGUGAUUUUAUCUGCCUAACAUCUUGAUCAUUGGUUAAUUCUACCCUUUCAUCUUGUUGCUUGCACCAACGUCUUGCUAAGUGUUGGAUGUUUAGCAAAUUUAAAUCUCCCAUUGUUUUCUUAAUAUCCCGCUUGUGUAAAGAUGUGUCUUGAAUAUCUCUUCGAUGGGCGUCAAAUGCAUCUGAGCUUAAAACCAGAACCUUGGAUUCAAUUGUUUUUCUUGAAUCUUGAUGCCUUUGAUUCUCUCCUAUCUCCCAUAGGCUCAUCCAUCUAACCUCAUGAUCAUUUCCUCUUUAUAUCUAAUCUGAUGUUGAUUUUUAACCUAGUAAUCUCCUUGUUGGACAAAAGAUGCAUUCGAUCUUAAGGUAAAGAUCUCGAGUCUGUGUUCCUAAUAAUUAAUUCAAAACUAUUUUGUGGUUAUAUUUUCAUUCUAAACCAUGCCCUUGUUCGGUUGGUGCAAGCUGAUGGUUCUAUUCUGCUUUGCCUCUCCAAGAGAAUCACAUUGUUGCUUUCUCAAUCUAACCUAGGAAAGGAAUGCCCAAUUAUUUUUCUUGAAUUUAAUGUCUUUGGUUUCCUCAUAUCUCUCAAAGGCAUACCAAUUUAAUCUUCUGAUAGUUUUCCUCUCUAUAUCUAAUCAAACACUAAUCGUUGACUUGAUAAUCUCUGCGAUGGACAUAGAAAUAUGCUUGGGCUGAAUUAACAGUCUCCGAUCGCACUCCUUCGUAAUAAAUCUAUUAAAAUCAAAAUCUAUCUAUGUCUAAUUGUGUGAUAAAAAUCACCCCUUCCACAUGUGAUCCCUUUUCUCUUGACUUUGAUAGUGACGACAUACAUACAAGUUUCCUUUGCAUCCUUUGUGUAAAGGUGAAGCCUUGGAGCUUUUUAGUGUUGGGAGACAAUUGAUUAGUUCUCAAAAUGGAGAUUGACUUCCCUUGCUGCUAAAUGCAGGAGUUUGUUCAUUCGCCUCCUUAUUGGAUUCAUACAUCUAAUACACAUGUUAGUUUGUCUCGUGUGGAGGAGAUGAAUAAAUAAUCUGAUCAACUGAAUCCUUAUCCAAAUGCAUGCCCUCGUACUCGUAAAUGUGAACUCCCAACCUCUGGUUUGCUGAUGGGUAAUAAGAGGACUUGCUCGAUGUCAAAGGUAGUUCAACAAGUUGGUUUUACUAAUUUGUAACUGCCCAAUGAACAAAGGUUGAGUUUAGAGAUCAUUUUAUCGAGUUGUCUAAACUCACUUUAGUUCAGCGUAUCCUAAAGAGACCCUUGUGAAGAUCAAGUGAAGGUUAUGAACAUAUGCGCAGAUCUUAUGCCAUAUUGGAUUAGAUUAUGAGCAUAUGUAUCUUAACUUUACCUUGUUGGCCGAGGCACUUUGCCAUCCUUAGCUAACUAUUAACAGCCUAACCACAGCUCUAGUCGUGGAUCGAUCGCCUCACGUAUGGUUUUCCAACGUGUGUGAUCAAGUCGAGCCAUGAUUAGUGCUUGAUAAAAUGGAUUGGUUGCGAAGUCAACAUCUAUAGAUCCCUCCGCUGGUGAUUUUCUCGAAUCUAUAUCACCUUUCAUGAACUUGGAUUCUCUAGAUAAUCACAAGUCGACCGUGAGGCUGUUCGACAUUCACAACCGUCUCUUAUGCUAUGGAUUUGCAGUGACGCCUUAAUGACAAAUCUCAUUUUGUGUGUUUUACCCAAGAAGGUGCAUCUGAUUCUGCUUGGCAACUCCCAUAUCUAUUAUUCGCCCAGCAGACUCCAGUUGUCUGAGAAAGCAAACCGCACACAUGGAACCUUAUGUGUUCUUUUGUCAGUUAUAGCUUGUUUGUUGAUGUCUCUAGUUAAACUAAAGUGGUAUGUGCUAUACCCACUAGAAAAGCAACAUUAUGAGAUGCUCGUCUUUGCUUGGAAUUAGUUUAUGCUAUCACUAUUAUGGACAGGGUUAUACGCCUCUCUACUCUUAGAAGUCUUUCGUUCUGAAUCUCGGGACGAGAUUCUUUUAAGGGGGAAAGGCUGUAACACCCCAGGUGUUUAUCGACUGCUCGACCACGAGUGCGGACUUUAAAACGUGAUAGCGGUGAAUAAAAUGUACACUAAAUUUUAAUCAUCUUUGUCUAUCGCGAUUUUGAUAUCGUGUCUGUCUCCAUCUGUUUAAAUUGUCCUAAAUUAUUUUGCAAAAAUUCAGACUUUAGUAAUCUUCUGAAACAUUGAAUCCAGUAUCGUUUGGGUUGAGCCAUCGACAUCUUGCCCCAAAACUCUAAAUUCUUGAAAUCGGAUCUAGUUCCUAAACUUUGUUUCAAAUUCUUUCACGCUUGCAUUGCACAUGUCUCUCUGUGGCCUGGCAUCGUGGCGCGUGGCUGGUGCUAACCAAUGCCUGGACAGCGCACAACCUCUCGCCCACGUGAACGAUGCGUAACUUCGCUUCCGAAGGGAUCACAAUUUCGAUGCUGGAUCGAUCUCGCGUAUUUAUUUCACGAAAUACCGAGCCUUGUGUCUGUUUAAAAUUUAUGGAUUAAGAGAACAUGAAUUUGGAAUCCUGACCCACUCUUGUGAUUGUUGACCCGAGUAAAUUUUAUUAGGGGCUCGGCGACAAGAGUGUUGAUGCGAGAUUAAACUGGAGCGAGAUAAUUAGAGCCGAUAUUGCGUUUUCGUAAUUAAUCUGUUCCACUGUCUACAAUUGUGGAAAUUUGUCUGAUUUCUAAGUAAACAAAGCUGACUAAAAUAUCGAGUCUGAUCUCCUUUUGGUUUGUGUCGUUUGCAUCUCGCUUGAAUCUAGAUUCUAGAAUUCACUCUUAUAUGUACUCCCUUGUUAAAAAUCGAGAAAAGAGCAAAAAUCUGAUUUUUUUUCUUUUGCCUUAUCUUCUCCACCGCUUAACUCCCUCAACCUUAUCCCCUGUACGAAGCACCUCAUCUCCCACACGUAAGCUAUUCCUCUCACCUCUACUCACAUGGCCGUCCCUCCUUCAUCCCUCCCCAUGCCGAGCUCCUUCUGGCCGAGCUUGGCCCUGCGCUCUCCCUCACAGCCACGCUCUCCUCCACCUAUAGCUCUCCCCAUCUCCUCCUCUCCCAUGGCGGCUCCCCUCGGAUCCCUCCCUCCAUGGCUGCCGUCGCCCCCAAGCCCGCGGUCUUGCCGAGCUCGCCCAGCCCUUCCCCAUCUUCUCUCCACCUCCCUGAUGAUCAGCGCCCUUACCCCAUGGUGCCAUGGACACCGCCCUCCCCUAACGGCAUUGAAAGCACCUAGAGGGGGGGGGGUGAAUAGGUGAUCUUGUAGAUCUUAAAAACUUAAGCCACAAAACUUUGAUUAAGUGUUAGCACAGUUAAUGCCAAGUGGCUAGAGCGAAGAUCUUGCACAAUAUGAUAAUCACAAGAAGAUCAACAUAGAGAGGACACGGUGAUUUAUCCCAUGGUUCGGCCAAGUACAAAACUUGCCUACUCCACGUUGUGGCGUCCCAACGGACGAGAGUUGCACUCAACUCCUCUCAAGUGAUCCAACGAUCAACUUGAAUACCACAGUGUUAUGCUUUUCUUCUCAAUAUCCCGUUUGCGAGGAAUCUCCACAACUUGGAGCCUCUCGCCCUUACACUUGAGAUUCACAAAGAAAUACGGAGUAAGGGAGGAACUAGCAACGCACACAAGACUCAAAACCAGAGCAACAACACGCACACAAGUCGCAACAAGAGCUUGCAACACAACUCAAAGAGUUCACAACUCCACAAGAGCUCUAGAUGCUAUCACAAUGAACCAAAUGCGCGAAAUCGAUGUCUUGGUGCUUAGGAAUGUUGUAGGAAUGCUUGGUGUGCUCCUCCAUGCGCCUAGGGGUCCCUUUUAUAGCCCCAAGGCAGCUAGGAGCCGUUGAAAACAAAUCUGGAAGGCCAUCCUUGCCUUCUGUCGUCGGGCGCACCGGACAGUCCGGUGCACACCGGACACUGUCCGGUGCCCGAUUUCCUUCCUUAAACAGCGCAGCCGACCGUUGCCAACCGUUGCAGAUCUGGCGCACCGGACAGUCCGGUGCACACCGGACAGUCCGGUGCCACUUUCCGACCGUUGGCCAGACCACGUGUCGCGCGCAGAUUCCGCGGCCGACCGUUGGCUUGGGCCGACCGUUGGCUCACCGGACAGUCCGGUGCACACCGGACAGUCCGGUGAAUUUUAGCCGUACGCCGUCGGCAAAUUCCCGAGAGCAGCGUCUUCGCCCGAGGCAGCCUGACGCACCGGACACUGUCCGGUGCACCACCGGACAGUCCGGUGCCCCAGACCGAAACAGCCUUUUGGCUGUACACAGCCAACUCUUCUUCUUUCUUCUUCUCUCUGUUUCUAUCACUUGGACAAGUAUAUUAGUACACAAAACCAAUGUACUAAGGCUUAGAAACAUACCUUUACUUGUGAUUUGCACUUUGUUCAUCCAUGGGCAUAGAUUUACAUUUAAGCACUUGUGUUGACACUCAAUCACCAAAAUACUUAGAAAUGGCCCAAAGGCACAUUUCCCUUUCAAUCUCCCCCUUUUUGGUGAUUUAUGCCAACACAACAUAAAGCAACUAGAACAAGUGCAAAAUCACUUCAAAUAAAACAAAUUUGAGUUUUAUUCAAUUUUGGCAUAUAUGGAUCAUCCUUUGCCACCACUUGGUUUGUUUUUGUAAAUCAAACUCAAAUCUCUAUCUCUAAGUCAAACACACAUGUUGAAGCAUAAAGAGAGUCAUUCCAAAAGAGAUUGAUCAAAGAUGUCACAAACUCCCCCUAUUUCCCAUAAUCAAUACUUCUCCCCACAAGAAGCCAACUUUUGACAAAAGAGACAAUAAGAGAGUUUUAACAAAACAAAAAGCUCUAUUUCACUAUUUUCAAAAUUUCUCAAGUGGUAGCUGAUCCAUUUAUUUCUUUGGCCUUUAUUUUCUCCCCCUUUGGCAUCAAGCACCAAAACGGGAUCAAUCGUGGCCCAAUAACCCCAUUGCCUCACCAAAAUCUUCAAUUAAGAGCAAAUGGCAAUAAGAGUUCAUGAGAUGGACUUGGAAUAAGUUACCCUCUCAUCGGAGUGCAGUGGAAGUCUUUCAUAGUCCAAGUCCACCUUUUCCCUUUCAAUUCUCCUUCGAGACUAAAUCAAGCAAACUCAAGCAUAUGGUUAGUCUCAAAGAGUCAAGUUGUAACACAACUCCCCCUAAACAUGUGCAUCACUUUGCAACGGACUUGUGAGGUCCAGGGAGUGUUUGUACAACUUGAGCACCAUAAUAAGCAACAAAAUGCAGAAUGAACAUGAUCAAAGGCAUAAACACAUGUAUGCUACAGUUCAAUCCAAGUUCCGCGAAUCUAAGACAUUUAGCUCACUACGCAGCCUGCAAAAGGUCUUCUCAUCUAGAGGUUUGGUAAAGAUAUCGGCUAGCUGGUUCUCGGUGCUAACAUGUAACACUUCGAUAUCCCCCUUUUGCUGGUGAUCUCUCAAAAAGUGAUGCCGGAUGUCUAUGUGCUUUGUGCGGCUGUGCUCAACAGGAUUUUCCGCCAUGCGGAUAGCACUCUCAUUAUCACAUAGGAGUGGGACUUUGCUCAGAUUGUAGCCAAAGUCCCUGAGGGUUUGCCUCAUCCAAAGUAGUUGCGCACAACACUGUCCUGCGGCAACAUACUCGGCCUCAGCGGUGGAUAGGGCAACGGAAGUUUGUUUCUUAGAGUUCCAUGACACCAGGGACCUUCCUAAGAAUUGGCACGUCCCCGAUGUACUCUUCCUAUCGACCUUACAUCCAGCAUAAUCGGAGUCUGAGUAUCCAACCAAGUCAAAGGUAGACCCCUUUGGAUACCAGAGCCCGAAGCAAGGCGUAGCAACUAAAUAUCUCAGAAUUCGCUUCACCGCCACUAAGUGACACUCCUUAGGAUCGGAUUGAAAUCUAGCACACAUGCAUACGCUAAGCAUAAUAUCCGGUCUACUAGCACAUAAAUAAAGCAAAGAACCUAUCAUGGACCGGUAUGCUUUUUGAUCAACAGACUUACCUCCUUUGUUGAGGUCGGUGUGUCCGUCGGUUCCCAUCGGAGUCUUUGCGGGCUUGGCAUCCUUCAUCCCAAACCGUUUUAGCAGAUCUUGCGUGUACUUCGUUUGGGAGAUGAAGGUGCCGUCCUUGAGUUGCUUCACUUGGAACCCAAGGAAGUAGUUCAACUCGCCCAUCAUCGACAUCUCGAAUUUCUGCGUCAUCACCCUGCUAAACUCUUCACAGGACUUUUGGUUAGUAGAACCAAAUAUUAUGUCAUCGACAUAAAUUUGGCACACAAACAAAUCACCAUCACAUGUCUUAGUGAAAAGAGUUGGAUCAGCUUUCCCAACCUUGAAAGCAUUAGCAAUUAAGAAAUCUCUAAGGCAUUCAUACCAUGCUCUUGGGGCUUGCUUAAGUCCAUAGAGCGCCUUAGAGAGCUUACACACGUGGUCGGGGUACCGUUCAUCCUCGAAGCCAGGGGGUUGCUCUACGUACACCUCCUCCUUGAUUGGCCCGUUGAGGAAAGCGCUCUUCACAUCCAUUUGGAACAACCUGAAAGAAUGGUGAGCGGCAUAUGCUAGCAAGAUACGAAUUGAUUCUAGCCUAGCCACAGGAGCAAAAGUCUCCUCGAAAUCCAAACCUGCGACUUGGGCAUAACCUUUUGCCACAAGUCGAGCCUUGUUCCUCGUCACCACUCCGAGCUCGUCUUGUUUGUUGCGGAACACCCACUUGGUUCCCACAACAUUUUGCUUAGGACGAGGCACCAGCGUCCAAACUUCAUUCCUCUUGAAGUUAUUGAGCUCCUCUUGCAUGGCCAACACCCAGUCCGGAUCUAGCAAGGCCUCUUCUACCCUGAAAGGCUCAAUAGAAGAGACAAAGGAGUAAUGUUCACAAGAAUUAACUAAUCGAGACCGAGUAGUUACUCCCUUGCUAAUGUCACCCAGAAUUUAGUCGACGGGAUGAUCCCUUUGAAUCAUCGCUCGAACUUGGGUUGGAGGUGCCGGUUCCGCUUCUUCCUCCAUCACAUGAUCAUCUUGUGUUCCCCCUUGAUCACACGCCUCCUGUUGAUGAACCUGUUCAUCGUCUUGAGUUGGGGGAUGCACCAUAGUCGAGGAAGAAGGUUGAUCUCGUUCAUCUUGUUCCUGUGGCCGAACGUCUCCAAUCGCCAUGGUUCGUAUAGCGUCCGUCGGAACAUCUUCUUCAUCUACAUCAUCACAAUCAACAACUUGCUCUCUUGGAGAGCCAUUAGUCUCAUCAAAUACAACGUUGCUAGAGACUUCAACCAAACCCGAUGAUUUGUUGAAGACUCUAUACGCCUUUGUAUUUGAGUCAUAACCUAACAAAAACCCUUCUACAGCUUUGGGAGCAAAUUUGGAAUUUCUACCUUUCUUCACUAGAAUGUAGCACUUGCUCCCAAAUACACGAAAGUAAGAUACAUUGGGUUUGUUACCGGUUAGUAGCUCAUAUGACGUCUUCUUGAGGAGGCGAUGAAGGUAGACCCUGUUGAUGGCGUGGCAAGCCGUGUUCACGGCUUCCGUCCAAAAGCACUCGGGGGUCUUGAACUCUCCUAUCAUCGUCCUUGCCAUGUCAAUGAGCGUCCUGUUCUUCCUCUCUACCACACCAUUUUGCUGUGGUGUGUAGGGAGCGGAGAACUCGUGCUUGAUCCCUUCCUCUUCAAGGAACUCCUCCACUUGAAGGUUCUUGAACUCGGACCCAUUGUCGCUCCUUAUCUUCUUUACUUUGAGCUCAAACUCAUUUUGAGCUCUCCUGAGGAAGCGCUUGAGGGUCCCUUGGGUUUCAGACUUAUCCUGCAAAAAGAACACCCAAGUGAAGCGGGAAAAGUCAUCAACAAUAACUAGACCAUACUUACUUCCUCCUAUGCUCAGAUAGGCGACGGGUCCGAAAAGAUCCAUAUGCAGCAACUCCAGGGGUCUUGAAGUGGUCAUCACAUUCUUGCUGUGAUGCGCUCCUCCCACUUGUUUACCUGCUUGACAAGCUGCACAAGGUCUAUCCUUUUCGAAUUUCACGUUAGUCAAACCUAUCACGUGUUCUCCCUUUAGAAGCUUGUGAAGGUUCUUCAUCCCCACAUGUGCUAAGCGGCGAUGCCACAGCCAGCCCAUGCUAGUCUUAGCUAUUAAGCAUGCAUCUAGACCGGCCUCUUCUUUUGCAAAAUCAACUAAAUAAAGUUUGUCGUCUAAUACACCCUUAAAAGCUAGUGAACCAUCACUUCUUCUAAAGACAGACACAUCUACAUUUGUAAAUAGACAGUUAUAUCCCAUAUUGCAUAAUUGACUAACAGAUAGUAAAUUAUAUCCCAGAGACUCAACUAAAAACACAUUAGAAAUUGAGUGCUCAUUUGAGAUUGCAAUUUUACCUAACCCUUUCACCUUGCCUUGAUUCCCAUCACCGAAUAUAAUUGAAUCUUGGGAGUCCUUAUUCUUGACGUAGGAGGUGAACAUCUUCUUCUCCCCCGUCAUAUGGUUUGUGCAUCCGCUGUCGAUAAUCCAGCUUGAACCCCCGGAUGCAUAAACCUGCAAGGCAAAUUUAGGCUUGGGACUUAGGUACCCAACUCAUGUUGGGUCCUACAAGGUUAGUGCAAAUAUCCUUAGGGACCCAAAUGCAAGUUUUGUCUCCCUUGCAUUUUGCCCCUAACUUCCUAGCAACAAUUUUCUUAUCCUUUCUACAAAUAGCAAAGGAAGCAUUUAAAGCAUAAUAAAUUGUAGAAGGUUCAUUCACUACUUUCCUAGGAGCAUGAAUAACAUUCUUUCUAGGCAUAGCAUUUUUCCUAGACAUAUUUCUAACGUGCAUAAAGGAAGAACUAGAAGCAAACAUGGCAUGAGAGUUAAAAUCAUCAUAUGCAUUAUAACUCCUAUACGCAUUUCUAGUUUGUCUCCUAUCAUGAUAUAAAAAGGCAUGGUUCCUUUUAGCACUAGUAGCCAUAGGGGCCUUCCCUUUCUCCUUAGUGGGAAUGGGAGCCUUAUGGCUUGUUAAGUUCUUGGCUUCCCUCUUGAAGCCAAGUCCAUCCUUAAUUGAGGGGUGUCUACCGAUCGUAUAGGCAUCCCUUGCAAAUUUUAGUUUAUCAAAUUCAUUCUUGCUAGUCUUAAGUUGGGCAUUAAGACUAGCCAAAUCCUCAUUAAGCUUGGAAAUUGAAACUAGGUGUUCACUACAAGCAUCAAUGUCAAAAUCUUUACACCUAGUACAAAUUACAACAUGUUCUACACCAGAAUUGGAUUUAUUUGCUACUUCUAAUUUAGCAUUUAAAUCAUUGUUGACAUCUUUCAAAGUAGAAAUGGUUUCAUGACAAGUAGAUAGUUCAAUAGAAAGCAUUUCAUUUCUUUUAACUUCUAAAGCAUAGGAUUUUUGUGCCUCUACAAAUUUAUCAUGUUCUUCAUACAACAAAUCCUCUUGUUUCUCUAAGAGUCUAUCCUUCUCAUUCAAGGCAUCAAUCAACUCAUUAAUUUUAUCUAUUUUAGUUCUAUCCAAUCCCUUGAACAAACUAGAGUAAUCUAUUUCAUCAUCACUAGACUCAUCAUCACUGGAAGAAUCAUAAGUGACAUUGUUUUGAUUGCAUACCUUCUUCUCCCUUGCCAUAAGGCAUGUGUGACGCUCGUUGGGGAAGAGGGAUGACUUGUUGAAGGCAGUGGCGGCAAGUCCUUCAUUGUCGGAGUCGGAGGAGGAGCAAUCCGAAUCCCACUCCUUUCCGAUAUGUGCCUCGCCCUUGGCCUUCUUGUAAUGCUUCUUCUUUUCCCUCUUGCUCCCGUGUUCCUGGUCACUAUCAUUGUCGGGACAGUUAGCAAUAAAAUGACCAAGCUUACCGCAUUUGAAGCAUGAUCGUUUUCCCUUGGUCUUAGUCUUGCUUGGCUGUCCCAUGCGACCUUUUAGUGCCGUCUUGAAUCUUUUGAUGAUGAGAGCCAUCUCUUCAUCAUUAAGACCAGCCGCCUCAAUUUGCGCCACCUUGCUGGGCAGCGCCUCCUUGCUUCUUGUUGCCUUGAGAGCAAUGGGUUGAGGCUCAUGGAUUGGGCCAUUCAACGCGUCGUCCACGUACCUCGCCUCCUUGAUCAUCAUCCGCCCGCUUACAAAUUUUCCAAGAAUUUCCUCGGGCGACAUCUUGAUGUACCUAGGAUUUUCACGAAUAUUGUUCACCAAGUGAGGAUCAAGAACGGUAAAUGACCUUAGCAUUAGGCGGACGACGUCGUGAUCCGUCCAUCGCGUGCUUCCGUAGCUCCUUAUUUUGUUGAUAAGGAUCUUGAGCCGGUUGUAUGUUUGUGUCGGCUCCUCGCCCCUUAUCAUCGCGAAUCGUCCGAGCUCGCCCUCCACCAACUCCAUCUUGGUGAGUAAGGUGACAUCAUUCCCCUCAUGAGAGAUCUUGAGGGUGUCCCAAAUCUGCUUGGCAUUGUCCAAGCCGCUCACCUUGUGAUACUCGUCCCUGCACAAAGAGGCUAGCAACACAGUAGUAGCUUGUGCAUUUUUAUGAAUCUGUUCAUUAAUAAACGAAGGACUAUCCGAGCUAUCAAACUUCAUUCCACUUUCCACAAUCUCCCAAAUGCUUGGAUGGAGAGAGAAUAGGUGAGUACGCAUUUUGUGACUCCAAAAUCCGUAGUCCUCUCCAUCAAAGUGAGGAGGCUUGCCAAGUGGAAUGGGGAGCAAAUGAGCAUUUGAACUAUGCGGAAUGCGCGAAUAAUCAAAAGAAAAGUUUGAGUUAACCGUCUUUUGUUUGUCAUAGUCGUUGUCGUCGUUUUCCUUUUGGGAAGAGGAAGAUUCGUCGCUGUCGUCGUAGUAGACGAUCUCCUUGAUGCGCCUUGUCUUCUUCUUCUUCCCUUCCUUCCGUCUAUGGCCCGAGCCGGAGUCGGUAGGCUUGUCUUCUUUGGGCUCGUUGACGAAGGACUCCUUCUCCUUAUCGUUGAUCACGAUUCCCUUCCCCUUAGGAUCCAUCUCUUCGGGCGGUUAGUCCCUUUCUUGAAGAGAACGGCUCUGAUACCAAUUGAAAGCACCUAGAGGGGGGGGUGAAUAGGUGAUCCUGUAGAUCUUAAAAACUUAAGCCACAAAACUUUGAUUAAGUGUUAGCACAGUUAAUGCCAAGUGGCUAGAGCGAAGAUCUUGCACAAUAUGAUAAUCACAAGAAGAUCAACACAGAGAGGACACGGUGAUUUAUCCCGUGGUUCGGCCAAGUACAAAACUUGCCUACUCCACGUUGUGGCGUCCCAACGGACGAGAGUUGCACUCAACUCCUCUCAAGUGAUCCAACGAUCAACUUGAAUACCACAGUGUUAUGCUUUUCUUCUCAAUAUCCCGUUUGCGAGGAAUCUCCACAACUUGGAGCCUCUCGCCCUUACACUUGAGAUUCACAAAGAAAUACGGAGUAAGGGAGGAACUAGCAACGCACACAAGACUCAAAACCAGAGCAACAACACGCACACAAGUCGCAACAAGAGCUUGCAACACAACUCAAAGAGUUCACAACUCCACAAGAGCUCUAGAUGCUAUCACAAUGAACCAAAUGCGCGAAAUCGAUGUCUUGGUGCUUAGGAAUGUUGUAGGAAUGCUUGGUGUGCUCCUCCAUGCGCCUAGGGGUCCCUUUUAUAGCCCCAAGGCAGCUAGGAGCCGUUGAAAACAAAUCUGGAAGGCCAUCCUUGCCUUCUGUCGUCGGGCGCACCGGACAGUCCGGUGCACACCGGACACUGUCCGGUGCCCGAUUUCCUUCCUUAAACAGCGCAGCCGACCGUUGCCAACCGUUGCAGAUCUGGCGCACCGGACAGUCCGGUGCACACCGGACAGUCCGGUGCCACUUUCCGACCGUUGGCCAGACCACGUGUCGCGCGCAGAUUCCGCGGCCGACCGUUGGCUUGGGCCGACCGUUGGCUCACCGGACAGUCCGGUGCACACCGGACAGUCCGGUGAAUUUUAGCCGUACGCCGUCGGCAAAUUCCCGAGAGCAGCGUCUUCGCCCGAGGCAGCCUGACGCACCGGACACUGUCCGGUGCACCACCGGACAGUCCGGUGCCCCAGACCGAAACAGCCUUUUGGCUGUACACAGCCAACUCUUCUUCUUUCUUCUUCUCUCUGUUUCUAUCACUUGGACAAGUAUAUUAGUACACAAAACCAAUGUACUAAGGCUUAGAAACAUACCUUUACUUGUGAUUUGCACUUUGUUCAUCCAUGGGCAUAGAUUUACAUUUAAGCACUUGUGUUGACACUCAAUCACCAAAAUACUUAGAAAUGGCCCAAAGGCACAUUUCCCUUUCAGGCAUGCUCCCAGCGCCUCCUCCCCACACUCGGCUUGGCAUGGAGGUCAACCAUGGGAUGCAUCACACCAACCUCACCGGCCAUACCCCCUGCUCCUCCCCACCGUCCGCAGCCCCAACGUCAUCACCGUGUUUAGUCAUGGUGAUUCCUAACCCUCUUGUAUUUCACUAAUUCUUCUAAUGCGAGCAGAUUUUUGUUGAUGUUAUAUUGAUACGAGGUUAUGUGUAUUUGUGUGCGAGUGUGACAGAGAGAAAGGUUCUAGGGUUUGGUUGGAAAAGAAAGCUAUAGCACGUCGACCACCAGGUGUUUGAUGAAUUAGAUGAAUCAACACUUGUUGUGGUUAUUGUGAAGUUUCGGUUCAUAUGAGCUUUUGGGGUGAGCCAGUUUCUCGCUCUUAUUUUUGGUACUAUGUGUUGUAAAAUUAGAGAAAUAAGUGGCAUGCUUUCUACAUAUUUAAAUAGAUUAAAUAUUCUAAUUCCGAAUAAAACAAGCAUAUAACUCAGAUAAAUGCCAUAUAUAAUUAUUGCAGCAAUGAACAGUAGCAAUUCUAGAACAUGUAAACAUGUAAAAUAGCUGUUCAGGUACAUUUCAUAAUUAAACAUGGCUUGCAAAUGAAGAAGGCAGAUUAAACAAAUAAACAUGAUUGUUUAUCUUAAAAUAUUGCUCUCAAAAUAGCGGGUUGUUGUAAUAAACAACCCUCCAACGCUAAAAGGUGAUCAAAGAUCCUCGACUAACGUGACAGUCCUAUCUUACCAAAUCAAGGUUUUAGAUCAGAUGUAAUAAGCCUAAUAAUCAAGUAUAAAUACUGAUAGUAAGGACCUGUGUACUAAAUAAAAUAACAGCAAUUUAACACAGGUAAACAGCCUCGACAAAGAGAGAUUUAAUUAGGCACAAAUAAUAUCAAUGCUGAAAAUGAUAGUACACUAAAACCUAGACUGUCACGUUGUCUCACUACACCGCUAACAUCAUCGAGCACACAAAUCCGCCCACAAUAGUGCAAUCACACUCAAGUAUAUAAUACUAGCAGAUUGCACAAAAAUUAAACAGUAGAUAAAGUGAGUCAAAGAAUAACUCACAGCACAUAGAUUGACUACGUGGGAAGAUCAGCUCAGCGAACACAAAGUUCUGUCCCAGAAAACCAAUUCUGCCGCCCACGUCCGGGUCUGCACGGCGGGAGGUUGACGGAGAUACUAGAGCCGCUGUCGGAGCCGAGGGAGACGUCCACGGCACCAGCCCGAGAAUACGAACACCGCGCAGCAGGGAGCCUAAGCACCAGGCCACGGUGGACAGAGAUCAGACAAAAAUCGGAGCACCAGAGAAGUGCACGAUUCCGGCAACAGAGCACAUGUAUAUCACGCUGCGCAAGUACAACCCAUCUUCCUCCCACUUUGAACCACUCCCAGCAAGAAUCGCCACCAGAAUACCAGGAAAUGAACUGGUAGUUUCAGUUCUUACCGGAGCAGCACACACGGAGAGAGGAAGAAGAACAACCGACUGCUUGACCAGCGCCAGAGAGAGAGGAAACGCACCCAUACUUAUGGAGCAGAUCGGGCACCAAAUUCGGAGGCCGUUGAACAGAGAGAAACGCUAGAGGCGGUCGUGCAAGCCGGUCAACCAGUUCAGCCUCCACCGCCGCUCUUUGUCCCUGUUUUUAGACGCACACGCAGGAGGUGCCCUAGCUGGGAGUUUUACCAGCGCUUGUCGGUGGGCUGCUCGGCCUCCAGCCUUGUAGCGGCCACCCGGUCGGCCCCCUUGUUUUUUUAAUAAAGUGAAAAUUUGUAAAAUGGACAACAAUCCCCACCAUUUUCACUCUUAUUUUCUGAUCAAUGUCAUUGAGCUCCCGUACUGUUUAUAUACUACUUUUCGGCAGAGGUACUUGUUAGGUUUGAUCCAAAGCCUAUCCUAGUGUACUCCAACCCUGCACGAGUAAGCGGAGGACUACGCCUUGAUCCACAAAUCCUAGUGUGAGAAUCUUUGCACAAAAGGCACAUAGUACUAGGUAGAUUAUCUGCUUCUCUUACGGGGCGGGGCGUUACGGUCAUGCCCUUUAAUAUCUAUUCAUGAACUCACUAGAGAGAAAACCCCAUUCUCUCUCGGACUGCGACCCCACAGUCAGCUCAUAUAGGUGAAAUCAUUAAGGAAAUUCUGUAGGACAAUUUCCCUGCUUAUAGUAUUGACUUCAUUAAGAGCAUAUUGCUCAACCUGCCAUACAGACAGAGCACAGCAGCUAAUGAGACUCUUUGUCUUUUGUGCUCUUGGUUCCACAGUGCUUCGUUUCCUGGAGCCUGGAUCUCGGGAUCUCCGGUCACACAGGACAGUUAUCCGCAGUUGAAACCGCUAACAGGGUAUGAGUCCCAUUCCCAUGCACGCUGCUUGGAUUGGCUUUUGAGCCAGUCCUUUAGUGAAAGGAUCAACAAGGUUCCUUUCAGACUUGAUGUAAUCUACGGUUAUUACACCCGUCUCUCUAGCAUGCCGACAUGAAUCAAGUCGUCUUUUGAUAUGCCUCGAGGAUUUUUGGUUGUCCUUUCUACUGUUCACUUUCAGCAACAUAGAAGUGUUGUCAUAGUAUACUAGGACAGCCGGUAUCGGCUUUCCUAGCAUUGGAAGGUCUGACAACAGGUCUCUCAACCAUUCAGCCUCCAAUGCUGCUGAAUCAAGUGCAACUAAUUCAGCCUCCAUGGUGGAACGUGUCGACACUGAUUGUUUAGACGAUCUCCAUGACACAGCCCCACCAGCUAAAGUGAACACAUAGCCACUUGUAGACUUCAUUUGAUCCGAGUUAGAGAUCUAGUUUGCAUCACUGAAUCCUUCAAGUACUGACGGAAAUCCGGUAUAUUUAAUACCAAGAUUCAUCGCUCCCUUCAAAUACCGUAGCACUCUGUACAAGGCUACCCAGUGUCUAUCUCCUGGACUGGCCGAAUAACGAGCCAGUCUGCAUACUGCAUAUGAGAUAUCUGGUCUAGUUGCACUUCUCAGGUACAUGAGAGAUCUGAUGAUCUACGAAUAUAAUAGAUGGUUCACAGGCUCGCCUUCAUGUUUACUGAGCGUGUAGGAUGGAUCAUAGGGCGUGGUGACUGGUUUGCAGUCCAUAUGUCCAAAGCGAGUCAGGACCUUUUCCACAUAAUAGGAUUGUGACAAAGUAAUCCCAUCCUCACCCUUUAUUAGCUUGAUGUUCAAUAUUACAUCAGCUUCACCCAAGUCCUUCAUAUCAAAGUUCUUGGAGAGGAAUGCUUUUGUCUCCAUGAUAGCCUCCAAAUCGGUCCCAAAAAUCAAUAUGUCAUCAACGUAUAAACACAUGAUGACACCUUUGCCCCCAGAGAAGUGAUAAUACACACACUUGUUGGCUUCGUUUACACAAAACCCGACAGUGGUCAGAGUAUUAUUAAACUUCUCAUGCCAUUGUCCGGGAGCUUGCUUAAGACCGUAUAAGGAUUUAAUCAAGCGACACACUUUGCUCUCUUGUCCUUUAACCACAAAUCCUUCUGGUUGCUGCAUAUAAAUUUCCUCUUCCAGCUCUCCAUUUAGGAAUGUUGUCUUUACGUCCAUUUGAUGAACAAGAAGUUUAUAAGCAGCUGCCAGUGCUAAAAGCACAUGGAUUGUGGGCAAUCGAGCCACCGGAGAAUAAGUAUCAAAAUAAUCCUCCUCUUUCUUUUGAGUAAAACCCUUAGCCACAAGACGGGCCUUGUACUUUUCAAUAGUACCAUCGGGUCUCCUCGUCCUCCUAAAGAUCCAUUUGCAGCCCACAGGCUUGCAACCAGCUGGGAGAUCAGUUAUCUCCCAAGUUCCGUUCGAGAUGAUUGAAUCCAUCUCGCUACGGACAGCCUCCCUCCAGUACUCUGCAUCCGGAGAUGUAUAUGCCUUUGUGAGGGAGCGUGGUUCUUCAUCCACUAGAUAGAUAAUAUAAUCAUCACCAGAGACUUUUCAGUCCUUUGUCUCUUACUCCUCCUUAACUCCAAAUCUGGAAUCUGGUCAUGGACACUCGAGGGCAGAGAAUAUGUCCGAGAUGGACCAUCUGGGGUUACUACUUCCUUAUCUCGCAUAGGGAAGAUGCUCUCAAAGAAUGUCACAUCCUGAGACUCCAUUAUUACAUUUACAGUGAUUUCGCUUGUCUUGGAAUGGACCACUAGAAAUCUAUAAGCUGCACUGUUAUGUGCAUAAUCCAGGAAGACACAGUCUACGGUCUUAGGGCCUAGCUUUCUCUUCUUCGGCAACGGGACAUUCACCUUUGCAAGGCAGCCCCAAGUUCGAAGAUGCGAAAGAUCUGGCUUCCUUCCUUUAAAUCCUUCAUAGGGCGUGACCUCACGGUUGCGAGGCGGCACCCUGUUCAGGACAUAGCACAAUGUGAGUACUGCCUCACCCCACCAGAUGUCAGGCAUCCCCGAACGUUGCAACAAAGCGUUAGCUAAGUCACACACCGUUAGGUUCUUCCUUUCAGCUACCCCAUUUAACUGAGGUGAAUAUGGAGCAGUGGUUUCAUGAAUGAUUCCACACUCUUUGCAGUACUCAUCAAAAAAGUUGGAAAGGUAUUCACCUCCUCUAUCAUACCGUAACCUUUCAGUCUUAUAGAUCUUAAAGUGUUCUAGUGCCUCAUCUUUAGUUCUGAGUAAGUAAAUAUAACAGAACCUGGUAGCAUCAUCUAUCAAGGUAAGAAAGUAUCUUUUACCACCUUUUGUGAUUAUACCAUUCAUCUCACAGAUAUCUGAGUGAAUUAGUUCUAAAGGAGUGGUACUUCUGCCUUCAACCGUAUGAAACGGUUUUCUAGGCUGCUUAGCUUGCACACAAAUACCACAUUUUACACCUUUAACAUGUUUAUAUUCAGGAAUUAAAGACAUGUCACUUAAUCUCUUAAUGGCCUCAAAAUUCACAUGACACAAAUGGGAAUGCCAUAUAUUAUUAAUGGAAUCGUUAUUACAGACCACAUUAACAUGGUAAGAAGAAUGAUUAUUCAAAACAGAAAGACGGAACAAACCGCCUGACUCAUAUGACUUUCCAACAAAAGUACCAAACUUAGACAGGACCACUUUAUUAGACUCAAACACUAAUUUGAGACCCUGUCGACAUAGCAGCGACACUGAUAUGAGGUUCCGGCUCAUCGAUGGCACAUAGAGUACGUCCUUCAGCACGAGUGUCUUUCCUGAAGUUAACUUCAGGUAGACCUGUCCAGUACCUCGAACUGCUGCCGGAACACCAUUUCCCAUCAAGACUGGUGCGCUGCUGUAUCCCUGGAAUGAAGAGAACAUGGAUCGAUCAGCACAAAUAUGAACAGUAGCACCGGAAUCCAUCCACCAGUCAUCUGAUGGACUUGCCAUAAAGGCCUGAGGUGCAUACCCUGGGGUGGAGUUAACCACCACGUUCCCUUCUUUGCGCUGAGGUGGAGGACCUUUUCCCUUCCUAAGUUUGCACCUCCGAGCUGUAUGCCCGGAGACACCACAAACGUAGCCGAUAAAGUCCUCCUUUUUCUUCUUCAUCUUUUUGGACUUAGGUUGGUUCAUAUUCUUCUGUGGAGAGUUCUUCUUCUUCUUCUUCUGGAAUUUUCUAUCUCCACCCUUCUCAACAACGUGAGCCUGGAGUUGCUGGGAUGGCUUGUUACUGGACCUUGCACGCUCUUCCACAUUAAUCGCAGCUGACAACUCAGUGAGAGUCAUUUGCUUCUUCAUGUGGCGGCGUGAAGUCACAAAGUAUCGCCAAGAAGGCGGGAGCUUUGUCAGUAUUGCAUUCACCUGAAAACUGUCUGGUAGGACGCAGCCAUAUUGUACCAAGUCCCUAACAAGGAGUUGAAUCUCCUGUAGCUGCUCCAUAGCAGACCUUCCCUCAGCCAUUUUAUAGUUGAGGUAGUUUUUCGUUGUGAAUGACUCAUUGCCAUUGUCAACUUUAGAGAACUCGUUCUCAAGUUCAGUCCAUAGACCCUUAGCGGAGGUAAAACCAGAGUACACGUCAAAUAAGCGGUUCAACAAGACGUUCAGCAGACGAGACAAGCAUGCCUCAUUGGCUUCGUCCCACUUGGCCUUCUCCGCUAGUGCGGCAGCCUUCGCUGCAUCAUCAGAAUCAUCUGAUGUAGCCUGGGGAACAGCCGACGUCACUACCCAAAAUAAUUUUAGGUCAGUGAGCCACAUGCGAGUCUUAAUCUGCCAGCCCUUAAAGCUUGCGCCGUCGAACGCUUCAGGCUUAAUGACAUCAGAACUGGAGGCCAUUAUACGAAUUGGUUUUCUGGAUUGUUGUAAAAUUAGAGAAAUAAGUGACAUGCUUUCUACAUAUUUAAAUAGAUUAAAUAUUCUAAUUCCGAAUAAAACAAGCAUAUAACUUAGAUAAAUGCCAUAUAUAAUUAUUGCAGCAAUGAACAGUAGCAAUUCUAGAACAUGUAAACAUGUAAAAUAGUUGUUCAGGUACAUUUCAUAAUUAAACAUGGGUUGCAGAUGAAGAAGGCAGAAUAAACAAAUAAACAUGAUUGUUUAUCUUAAAAUAUUGCUCUUAAAAUAGCGGGUUGCUGUAAUAAACAGCCCUCCAACGCUAAAAUGUGAUCAGAGAUCCUCGACUAACGUGACAGUCCUAUCUUACCAAAUCAGGGUUUUAGAUCAGAUGUAAUAAGCCUAAUAAUCAAGUAUAAAUACUGAUAGUAAGGACCUGUGUACUAAAUAAAAUAACAACAAUUUAACACAGGUAAACAGCCUCGACAAAGAGAGAUUUAAUUAGGCAUAAAUAAUAUCAAUGCUGAAAAUGAUAGUACACUAAAACCCAGACUGUCAUGUUGUCUCACUACACCGCUAACAUCAUCGAGCACACAAAUCUGCCCACAAUAGUGCAAUCACACCCAAGUAUAUAAUACUAGCAGAUUGCACAAAAAUUAAACAGUAGAUAAAGUGAGUCAAAUAAUAACUCACAGCACGUAGAUUGACUACGUGGGAAGAUCAGCUCAGCGAACACGAAGUUCUGUCCCAGAAAACCAAUUCCGUCGCCCACGUCCGGGUCUGCACGGCGGGAGGUUGACGGAGAUACUAGAGCCGCUGCCGGAGCCGAGGGAGACGUCCACGGCACCAGCCCGAGAAGAUGAACACCGAGCAGCAGGGAGCCCAAGCACCAGGCCAUGGUGGACAGAGAUCAGACAAAAAUCGGAGCACCAGAGAAGUGCACGAUUCUGGCAACAGAGCACAUGUAUAUCACGCUGCGCAAGUACAACCCAUCUUCCUCCCACUUUGAACCACUCCCAGCAAGAAUCGCCACCAGAAUACCAGGAAACGAACUGGUAGUUUCGGUUCUUACUGGAGCAGCACACACGGAGAGAGGAAGAAGAACAUCCGACUGCUUGGCCAGCGCCAGAGAGAGAGGAAACGCACCCAUACUUAUGGAGCAGACCGGGCACCAAAUUCGGAGGCCGUUGAACAGAGAGAAAAGCCAGAGGCGGCCGUGCAAGCCGGCCAACCAGUUCAGCCUCCGCCGCCGCUCUCUGUCCCUGUUUUUAGACGCACACGUAGGAGGUGCCCUAGAUGGGAGUUUUACCCGCGCUUGCCGGUGGGAUGCUCGGCCUCCAGCCUUGUAGCGGCCCACCCGGUCGGCCCCCUUGUUUUUUUAAUAAAGUGAAAAUUCGUAAAUUGGACAGCACUAUGCAUAAAGUGAUUAGAUGUAUUAUAUGUGAUGUUACAUGGCGAUGUUAGGGAAGGAUUUUCCUUUAUAUUUUCCUUAGGAUAGUUGAGCAUAGGUAUUGUUUGAUGUUAGAUUAGGAUUUAAAAUAUACAAGUGUGCGAGGAAUAGUGGUAAAUCAGUGAUUGUUGUCAAAAUACCGUGUUGUAUGUAUUGUUAUGAUUCUAUCCAUAAUUAUAAUGGAGUCGCGUCGUAUGAUUGAGUUAAUUGUUCUUGUGUUCACAAUCAGAAAUUUCCUGUGUAUACAGUUUUGAUUGCGCAACUAAUCUGGUGAAGCAAACUACGUUUUCUAUAAAGAUGUUCUAUAUAAAAGUAGUAGUUAACCUCCCCAUCUUUCUUGUGUUAAAUUUUCAUGACCAUAGGUUUAGUAGUUUAAGAGUUAUGAUUUUCCCAAGUCCAGUUUCAGAAUCUGUCCAGAUUUUGUACUGAUUUCGAAAAUUGCUUUGUUUGACUAAAUUAAACUUAGAAUCAGACCUUAGUAAUUAUAGAAUAAUUGUAGUACUUUUCUUAAGGUUUCCAAAAGAUUUUG